Molecule: ribosomal RNA, 218 nt
Filed under: uncultured Acidovorax sp.
Lineage: Bacteria; Pseudomonadati; Pseudomonadota; Betaproteobacteria; Burkholderiales; Comamonadaceae
Description: partial 16S ribosomal RNA
Rfam family: Bacterial small subunit ribosomal RNA
Source: RNAcentral
CCGGAGGAAGUGGGAUGACGUCAAGUCCUCAUGGCCCUUGUAGGUGGGGCUACACACGUCAUACAAUGGAUGGUACAAAGGGUCGCCAACCCGCGAGGGGGAGCCAAUCCCAUAAAGCCAUUCGUAGUCCGGAUCGCAGUCUGCAACUCGACUGCGUGAAGUCGGAAUCGCUAGUAAUCGUGGAUCAGAAUGUCACGGUGAAUACGUUCCCGGGUCUU